UAUGAUCCAGAGUACCACGGGACACGUGAAACCCUGUGGGAAGCAGGAGGGACCACCCUCCAAGGCUAAAUACUACCUAGUGACCGAUAGCGUAUAGUACCGUGAGGGAAAGGUGAAAAGAACCCCGUGAGGGGAGUGAAAUAGAACCUGAAACCCUGCACUUACAAGCUGUGGAAGCACAUUUCUUGUGUGACCGCGUACUUUUUGUAGAACGGGCCAACGAGUUACGUUAAGUAGCAAG
RNAcentral lists this ribosomal RNA (241 nucleotides) under Clostridioides difficile. Its description in RNAcentral is "partial 23S ribosomal RNA". It matches the Rfam family "Bacterial large subunit ribosomal RNA", at positions 401 to 644 of the family's 2925-position model. The record is from RNAcentral. Lineage: Bacteria; Bacillati; Bacillota; Clostridia; Peptostreptococcales; Peptostreptococcaceae.